This 142-nucleotide small nuclear RNA is filed under the name Xiphophorus couchianus (Monterrey platyfish). RNAcentral's name for it is "U4 spliceosomal RNA (ENSXCOG00000020849.1)". It matches the Rfam family "U4 spliceosomal RNA". From Rfam's summary of the family: U4 small nuclear RNA (U4 snRNA) is a component of the major U2-dependent spliceosome. The structure of U4 snRNA from yeast and human has been reported. Lineage: Eukaryota; Metazoa; Chordata; Actinopteri; Cyprinodontiformes; Poeciliidae. The record is from RNAcentral.
AUCUUUGCGCAGUGGCAGUAUCGUAGCCUAUGAGGUUUAUCCGAGGCGCGAUUAUUGCUAGUUGAAAACUUUACCCAAUACCCCGCCUUGACGACUUGAAAUAUAGUCGGCAAUGGCAAUUUUUUGACGGUCUCUACGGAGA